RNAcentral lists this ribosomal RNA (477 nucleotides) under Mycobacterium sp. FI-09278. Its description in RNAcentral is "bacterial SSU rRNA". It matches the Rfam family "Bacterial small subunit ribosomal RNA", at positions 28 to 508 of the family's 1533-position model. Lineage: Bacteria; Bacillati; Actinomycetota; Actinomycetes; Mycobacteriales; Mycobacteriaceae. The record is from RNAcentral.
GACGAACGCUGGCGGCGUGCUUAACACAUGCAAGUCGAACGGAAAGGCCCCUUCGGGGGUACUCGAGUGGCGAACGGGUGAGUAACACGUGGGUAAUCUGCCCUGCACUUCGGGAUAAGCCUGGGAAACUGGGUCUAAUACCGGAUAUGACCACGAGGCGCAUGCCUUGUGGUGGAAAGCUUUUGCGGUGUGGGAUGGGCCCGCGGCCUAUCAGCUUGUUGGUGGGGUGACGGCCUACCAAGGCGACGACGGGUAGCCGGCCUGAGAGGGUGUCCGGCCACACUGGGACUGAGAUACGGCCCAGACUCCUACGGGAGGCAGCAGUGGGGAAUAUUGCACAAUGGGCGCAAGCCUGAUGCAGCGACGCCGCGUGGGGGAUGACGGCCUUCGGGUUGUAAACCUCUUUCACCAUCGACGAAGGUCCGGGUUUUCUCGGAUUGACGGUAGGUGGAGAAGAAGCACCGGCCAACUACGUGC